Molecule: long non-coding RNA, 1772 nt
Filed under: Pan troglodytes (chimpanzee)
Lineage: Eukaryota; Metazoa; Chordata; Mammalia; Primates; Hominidae
Description: long non-coding RNA NONPTRT012662
Source: RNAcentral
GAAUUCUGUCAUUGUCUCUUUUGAUAAUUGAGUACUCUCCACCAAUGUAGUCCCCUAGGAGGGGAGGGGUUCAGGAGAGAGGAGAAAAAAACAGAAGAGAAUUAACAUGAAUUAAGCAAAGAUUCUGUGCCAGGCACCAAAGCUAAGGAGCUUCACACGUUAUCUCUUUAAUCUCCUCAAAACUUUGAGAAUGGAUCAUUGUUAGCUCAUUUUACAAACAGGAAAAUGAAAGAUUUGAAAGGCUCUUAAUGAAUCUCCCUGCCUACAACUUCAGGACCGCCUGAAUCCAUCUUUCCCCUGGUGGCCACCAUGAUCUUUAAAAUAUGCCCCUUUUGUCUGGAAGCUUCAGCUAUAUGCCAUCUCAAGUUCCAUCUUCCUGGAAAACCCUUGUAAAUCCACCACUGUUAGGCUUAGCCAUCAUCUCCUUGAUGAAGCCUAUCCCUGACCUCUGCCCAAGAGAUGGGGGUCUUGCUAUGUUGCCUAGGCUGGUGUAUAGUGGCUAUUUACAGGCACAGUCAUAGCCUCAGCCUUCCAAGUAGCUGGCACUACAGGUGCAGCCAACAUGCCUCGCUAAGCUGAACCAUUUUAAAGUAAGCAAUUCAGUUUGUGUUGUGCAACCAACACCUUUAUCUAGUUCCAAAAUAUUUUCAUCACCAGUUUCAUUAUCAGCAAUUUUAUGGGCAGCUAAUAAUCUGUGUUCUGUCUCUAUCCUGAGUAUUCAUGUGAAUGAAAUCAUUUAAUGUGACCCCUUGUGUCUGGCAUCUUUCACUUAGCAUAAUGUUUUCGAGGUUCAUCCACAUUGUAGCAUGUCCCAGCACUUUAGUCCUUCUUUGAUGAGUUAUAUUUUAUUGUACAGUUAUAAGACUUGGUUUUGAGACCAGACUCCACUUAGUUCUUGCCUUGAGGUGGGCAAGACACUAACCUUUCUGAGCCUCAAUUUCCUGAACUGUAAAAUAGGGAUGGUAACAAGAAUUUGGAUACCUGUAACACAAAAUUGUGUGUAUGAAAUGGAGGACUGCACAUGAAAAUGCCUGCUGCAUGAUCAGGCCAAACAGAAUGUGCUGGACCCAGAUCCAGACCCAGACCCACACCCAGACCCAACCACUGGAGUGGAGCUGGAGGCAAGAGCUGCAGGCAGCAGGCCCGGCUGCAGGCUACAGAAAGAACUCUAGCUAGGAGAAAGUGAAGCGCUGAGGAUGGUCAUCUAGGCAAAUUGUCAGCAAGAGGGAAGCUUGCCAAGAGAGAAAGGCAGUGUCUCCUUGAUGGCUGGAACUCAGUCUCAGGGCAUCUAGGCAUCCCUGAAAUCUGAGAUUUCUGUGAGGAAACAGUUCCUUUUGGGGCUUAGGGACUGGUCUGUUAUCUCAGUGAGGACAGGCAGGAGUGGUCAUCCAAGUCGGAUUUCUGAAUCUAAGGAAGCCGACUAGCAAUAGGCAUCCAGACAUGAGGGAAUUAAGUGGACCUCAGCAAUUAGAAUAGGGGUCCCAAGUCAGUCUGGCCCUAAGAUUCACUUGUGCUGUGUUGUUGAACUAGGGUUUACUUUCUGUCCAGCGAUAAGAUUGAUCCCAAAGACUCCCUCCUUAGGAGGGAAAGGGGAGCCAUCAGUGGUGAGGCAAGGGCAUACAUGAGUGACAUUUUGCAGAGAUUCAAGUGAUAUGUGGUCAUGGCUUUAUUUCUCUUCCUCAUAAUUCUAUAUGUUAUAGAAUUGGUUCAUAUAACAACCUAUAUAAGUUGGUACAAAAGUAAUUGUGGUUUUUGCAUUAUUGAAAUUUGCC